Molecule: ribosomal RNA, 514 nt
Filed under: uncultured Glomus
Lineage: Eukaryota; Fungi; Glomeromycota; Glomeromycetes; Glomerales; Glomeraceae
Description: SSU rRNA
Rfam family: Eukaryotic small subunit ribosomal RNA
Source: RNAcentral
AGCAGCCGCGGUAAUUCCAGCUCCAAUAGCGUAUAUUAAAGUUGUUGCAGUUAAAAAGCUCGUAGUUGAAUUUCGGGAUCAAUUAAUUGGUCGUGCCUCUGGUACGUACUGAUUUUAUUGGUUUCUCCCUUCUGACGAACCAUGAUGUCAUUAAUUUGGUGUCGUGGAGAAUCAGGACUGUUACUUUGAAAAAAUUAGAGUGUUUAAAGCAAGCUAACGCUUGAAUACAUUAGCAUGGAAUAAUGAAAUAGGACGUUUGAUCCUAUUUUGUUGGUUUCUAGGAUCGACGUAAUGAUUAAUAGGGAUAGUUGGGGGCAUUAGUAUUCAGAUUGUCAGACGGUGAAAUUCCUCUGGAUUUAUUGAAGACUAACUACUGCGAAAGCAUUUGCCACAGGAUGUUUUCAUUAAUCAAGAGCGAAAGUUAGGGGAUCGAAGACGAUCAGAUGACCGUCGUAGUCUUACCCAUAAACUAUGCCGACUAGGGAUCGGAUGAUGUUAAUUUUUUAAUGACUCA